Long non-coding RNA from Cucurbita maxima (winter squash), 497 nucleotides. RefSeq lists it as uncharacterized. NCBI's taxonomy places the organism in Eukaryota, Viridiplantae, Streptophyta, Magnoliopsida, Cucurbitales, Cucurbitaceae. The record is from RefSeq and is a predicted model, not a curated record. The transcript is spliced from 2 exons.
UUUGGUUCUCUAUAAUUGGCGCUUCCCGUUUUCAAUUUGUUUCCCUUCAACUUUUUUUCAUCUUCCAUUUCGUUUCUCUGUUUCUCUCUCUCUCUCUCUCGCUCGCUCUGCAAUUUCCUUAUCGUAUUCAGUACAAUCUCUCUAGCCAAGAGCACUGGAAGAACCGAGAGUGAAAGGAGAGGGGCAGUUCUGGCCGGACUUAGUACCAUAGCCGUUCGACUCGGCGGCUGUGGAGGCGGAUUUUGGUACCGGAGGAAAAAGAAGAGGCGGAGCCAGAAAAGGACCAAAGUUAAGCUUCGGUUUAUGGAGCUUUGGCAUAAGAUGGUUUUCCCUGUCCGACGAGUUUGGCUCGCUGUUUCCGCUCGAGUUAGGGCUCGGAAGAACGGAGGUGGGCUUUUGAAGAAGCUCCAUGAUGAUGUAGAAACCUGUGGGUAUGAAGAUGUGAAGGUGAUGUGGGAAAUGUUGCGUCGAUCGGAGUCGGAGCUGCUCGGUCAACC